UCACCAUUGUUGAUUGAAUCAAUAUCACUAUUUUUAGUCAUCAAAAUUUUCUUACUCAAACCUUCAAACUCUUAAAUAUUCUAAUUCUUGAAGUAAAUUUUAUCAUUAAGUCAUUCCAUAAUAAAAAUCAAUAACUCAAAAAUUAAUCUAAAUCAAAAUUAUAUUUUUCUUAUAAUCAAAAUCAAUGUCUCUAUUCUAAGUAAAUAUAUCAAUUUUUUUUAUCUAAACAUUAACAACUCUUAAUUAAUCGAUUUAUUAUCAAAUUAAAUUAUAAAUAACUCCAAUCC
This 287-nucleotide long non-coding RNA is filed under the name Elaeis guineensis (African oil palm). RNAcentral describes it as "long non-coding RNA (EGUI_LNC079007)". The record is from RNAcentral. Lineage: Eukaryota; Viridiplantae; Streptophyta; Magnoliopsida; Arecales; Arecaceae.